RNAcentral lists this ribosomal RNA (254 nucleotides) under uncultured microorganism. RNAcentral's name for it is "partial 16S ribosomal RNA". It matches the Rfam family "Bacterial small subunit ribosomal RNA", at positions 524 to 776 of the family's 1533-position model. The record is from RNAcentral.
UACGUAGGGUGCGAGCGUUGUCCGGAAUUACUGGGCGUAAAGAGCUCGUAGGCGGUAGUUCAAGUCAGGUGUGAAAUCCGACGGCUUAACCGUCAGGCGUCCAGAGGAUACUGCCAGGCUUGGGACCGGGAGAGGUGAGAGGUACCUCAGGGGUAGGGGUGAAAUCUUGUGAUCCCUGAGGGACCACCAGUGGCGAAGGCGUCUCACUAGAACGGGUCCGACGGUCAGGGACGAAAGCUGGGGGCACGAACAGG